Molecule: ribosomal RNA, 210 nt
Filed under: Acinetobacter radioresistens
Lineage: Bacteria; Pseudomonadati; Pseudomonadota; Gammaproteobacteria; Moraxellales; Moraxellaceae
Description: partial 16S ribosomal RNA
Rfam family: Bacterial small subunit ribosomal RNA
Source: RNAcentral
UAGCUUGCUACUGGAUUCAGCGGCGGACGGGUGAGUAAUGCUUAGGAAUCUGCCUAUUAGUGGGGGACAACGUUCCGAAAGGAGCGCUAAUACCGCAUACGUCCUACGGGAGAAAGCAGGGGACCUUCGGGCCUUGCGCUAAUAGAUGAGCCUAAGUCGGAUUAGCUAGUUGGUAGGGUAAAGGCCUACCAAGGCGACGAUCUGUAGCGG